RNAcentral lists this long non-coding RNA (35344 nucleotides) under Setaria italica (foxtail millet). Its description in RNAcentral is "long non-coding RNA (SITA_LNC001954)". Lineage: Eukaryota; Viridiplantae; Streptophyta; Magnoliopsida; Poales; Poaceae. The record is from RNAcentral.
AGAAAAAUUGCAUUGAUACAAUCAGAAAUGUGGCCAACGUAUGCUGUGUUCAAUUCUCUCCAUACUCCUCCCACAUGCUAGCAUUUGGUUCAGCUGAUUACAAGAUAUACUGCUAUGACCUGAGGAACACAAGGAUCCCUUGGUGUACUAUUUCGGGACAUGGUAAAGCUGUCAGUUAUGUAAGGUUCUUGGAUCCAGAAACACUUAUCUCUGCAUCAACGGACAACACAUUGAAGAUAUGGGAUCUUAACCGGACUAAUUGCAGUGGAUUAUCUACUGAUUCUUGCAGCCUGACACUGAAUGGUCAUACCAAUGAGAAGGUAUGAGAAAGUUUUAGUACUGCUUGUUUGUUUUCUGAGGUUAACCUGUUUGUUGAAUUAAUCUGAAAUCAACCUUACUAAUAAUUUCUUCUGCAGAAUUUUGUAGGGUUAUCUGUUCACGAUGGAUACAUAACAUGUGGCUCCGAAACCAAUGAAGUGAGUGUUUUAUGUAAUAAUGUAAUGCAUACAUUUUCCUUGGCAUGCCGACAUGUUUUAGUGAAAACGCUGUCAGGAAUUGAGUUCUGUCUGUCAAGUUGUAAACUUUCGAUUGAGCAGCUAUGUGUUGAGCACAUUGGUAUGCUCAGGAAAUUGUGUUUUUUUUCCCUUAUAGCACAGAUGAUUACAAUGGACCCAGUCUCUAAACCUAAACCUAUCAUGGUCCUUUCCUCACUAGUAUGACAAACAAUGUAUUAACACAUUUGAUCAGCCCAGACCUAGCAAGUUUCUGAUUCCGCCCGAUUGUGUAUUGCAAACCACCUCUCUCAGCCUUACAGUGAAGAUUCUCCUGUUGAUGCCAUGGCUAUUACUGUAGCACUCCUAGGUGACAGAUUGCAACCUGGAUUGACGUAAAUUGUUUGUAGUUUGGGAUUUUGAGUUGAAAGUACACUCUGUUAAAGGUUUAAGCGGAACAUUGCAGUAUGAAAUCUUCAGCUUCUGAAAUGCAGCUCACAUACCAUGGAAAAUUUUGGAUUUGCCACUUAGGAUAUAUCUGUAUUCUGACUUUGCCACUGAAAAAUAGCAUCUUCUGUUUUUGCCACUCGUCCUUUGGAUGGUAUUUUGUUUCCGAAAUGAUAGGUUGGCUUAGUGCUAGAACAAAAAUAUAGAGCCUCCUUAAUGGCAAACAUAAAAUUUUCCAUUUGUUCACUGGCAUCUCAAUGAAGCAUAUCGAUGAAUCUAUCAGUGGAAGGAUUGCUCAUGUGCUUUUUGGUGCGUGCAGGUAUUUUCUUACUACAAAUCCUUCCCUAUGCCAAUAACUUCUCAUAAGUUUGGUUCUAUCGACCCGAUAACUGGACAAGUGACAAAUGAAGACAGCCAGCAAUUUGUGUCCAGUGUUUGUUGGAGAGGGAAGUCAAACAUGGUAGUGGCUGCCAGCUCUAGUGGUAGCAUCAAAGUGCUUGAGCUUGUGUGAAAGAUCCGGUGAGAGUUCUGUUGAAGGAAAAAGGUUAUAGGGUUGCCAUGUGGGCCCCGUGAUGCUUAUGUGCACUUGGUGAUGCUGUUUCUAUGCUUAGUGAGUCCUCAAUGCAGAACACUAAGCAUUAGGCACCACUCCCAGGCCUGGUCUCAUUGUGUCACCAGACUACCAGAGCAGCAUAAGAUGCAAAGUGCACCAUUCAAGUAACCUGCAACACCGGAUAUUGGUUUUGGAUGCUUUGCUUGAGAUUUCCAAGCAAACUUAACAAAAUUUGCAAGAAUGCGACGGGCCUCAACGGAAGGCAACUGUCAGUAUCUGUUUAUUGCGUUUGUAAAUUUGUGCGGCAUUACUAUUCAUCAUCUUGAGGGCCUAAGGGUCUGUACAGAAUUAGGUGCCCUAGGGCUGAUGAAAUAUUUCCGAGACAGGAUGUUCUUUCGGGCUAGAGGCUGACGUGAUUAUACAUGUACUAGAUCAGUAUGUCAUGGGAACUUAACUCAGUUUUGAUAUGCGCUGGCUGGAGUUUGUAUGAUGGUUAGAUCAAACAAUUAGAAAACAAAACAGGGUGAUCUUGUAGCUUGAAGAAGUUGAUCAUGCAAUGUGCAUGUUGUAAGGAGGAUGUGUCUGAGGUCUCCCGUUCAUUAUUGUACAUAUAUUUAGGACUGCCUACCGAAAGGCCUUGUAACUAGAGUAAAAUGUUCAAAGCACUCGAGUCAUCAGCUCAUUAUAAUUAAAAUUAAUGGUAUUCUGAAAGUUUGAUGGCAGAUCUUUUUCACCUGUAUAUGAUUAUUUCGCUGAUGUUUUGUCUUGGAACACGGGAAGAACUUAUUUGCUUAUGCUUGUGGUGCACGCGGUGACUUACUUCACCCAACCUUGAUGCUUCGUUCGGCUGACACAUUUGACUGCCCGUUGUUGGCUUUCACUUGACUGUAGCCUGAUAGCGUGUAUUGUGCCUGUAACGAGUUAACCUUGUACCUGAUGAAUGGCAGAUGCUUGUUCCUUUUCUAGCUUUCUUUUUUUUUUUUACCUUUGUUCUCAUCAUGAGUCUUGUGGAAAUAUUGCACUUAUCAACUCGCACAUAAUCAGAUCACGAACUUAUAGGGACAGCUCUAACUGGUAACAGCAACAUCUGUGAUGCUCUUGUUCAAUGCAUGUCCACGGAACAUUGGGGACGGGAAAAUUGCAACAGCAGGCGACGAUCGUAGUGCCUCGAUCAAUCAGAUGACAGCCGACUUGCCGUUCUCUCUGAGUUUCUUCACCAGCCAAACAUGGCAAAAGCACAGACUGAAAGGUUGCCCAUUUGUGACCCCCAGUGAUUUGCCAAUUUUGGAGGGGAGCGAUCAGAAAUAGGCAAACGUCCAUGGAUUCAACUCCUCAAUUUCCCACAAUUUUUUGGUCCCUCCGUUCCUGCCCCCUCCCAACGUCUCUCCCUUUCCGCCAUCGCAAUCUUUUCUUCCGCGAGGGAAGGGAAGGUUCCGGCCCAGGGAGGGUAGGGAGCAAAGCGCGCGGAGCAGCAGAGGAAGGAAAGAAGCAAGCGAGGAGCGCCCCGGCGACCGACCGAGCAUGGCGCGCAGGAGGCAGCACGCCCUGCUGCUCCUCUCCGCCGUCGUGGCCUCCCUCGUCGGCGGCUCGACCGCCGGGGUGUACCACAUCGUCGGCGCCGGCAAAGGGUGGCGGAUGCCCCCCAACAAGACGUACUACGACGACUGGGCGCGCUCCAGGCACAUCAGCAUCGGCGACAAGCUGAGUAAGCUACGAAGCUUAGCUUGCCGUGUGGAAAUUCUUGCUCCAUCCAGGUCUCGGACCAAACUAAUUAGCGCGCGCGCUCAUCUGCUCGCCCGCGUCCGCGUCGUUCGUCGCAGUGUUCCUGUACCGGAGCGGGGUGCACAACAUCGUGGAGGUGCCGACGCGGGCGCUGUUCGACGCGUGCAGCAUGCGCAACAUCACCAGCCGGUACCAGAACGGGCCGACCAUCAUCGAGCUCACCGAGCCCGGGCAGCGCUACUACUUCUGCGGCGUCGGCGAGCACUGCGAGGUCGGCCAGAAGCUCGCCAUCAAUGUCCUCCUCGUCGCGCCGCCGCUGCCCGACACGCCCAGCUCCGGUGCCGCGGCGCGGCGCGGCACGGGGCUCUUCGGCCUCGCCGCCGCCUGCCUGGUGCCCGCGUUGCUAAUGGCGGUGUGACGACAUGGAACGCCGCGGCACGGGAGCGCGCGAGGCGUGUGCCGUCGCUUGCUGCGUCCGUCUUAUAUAUGUACAUACAUGUAAUGUAUCACACAGUAUCAGUGUUGGUCUGACUAGAGAGGAACCUUGGGCUUGGCCUUGGGCUGCCCUGAAAUUUUUUGCUCUCCUCAUCAGUUGCUAUUUUCGUCUCGUCUCGGUCUUAUGAUCUCCGAUGCCCGGGGCCAAACACACGGGAAAUGCUUCGGCAACAAAGCAGGAACAGGUAACUGGUGGAUGGAGAAAUAAAGGAGGCUGGGUGUAGAGGAAUUAACGAGCAGCUGUACGAAGAAUUGGGGAAUGAAUGGCUGGAAAAGGAUCAUACAUAGCCGGAGGAAGAUGGGUUUUGGAUCAGUUUUUGUUCCCUACUUGGGCCCCGAUUCCUCCAGUAGUCCAGUUUAAUAGGCCAGGCCGUACGAGACCGAGACGACGUCUACACUUGGCGGAAAUUGUGUGUGUUUUAGCGGUUGCAAGAUGAGACUGGCCCAGCACGAUCCAUAAGAGACUCUUCUGCUGCUUCCUGCAAUUCAGGUUGCAAAUCUUCCACAAGGCGAAAUAGAAUCUACCCCACCGCCUCCUCCUCGCCUCGCCGGUCGCCGCUGCUCUGCCAUCCACCACCAACCAAGCCUCAAACCUCCCCUCCGUCCGCCAUGGACGCUCCCUUUCGAAACCUCCCCGAAGACAUCCUCCGCCACAUCUACGGGCUGCUCGCAUGCCCCGCCGACCGCUUGGCCAUGUCCCGGGUUUGCCGCCUAUUUCGCGCCGCCGUCACGGGCCACUCGCCCCAAAUCCGGGCCGCGCCCUUGCCGCAGCAGCUCCCGUGGCUCCUCCUCCCGCACGCCGAGGGGCCAGCCUUCGCCUGCAUCCUAAGAGGCGGCGCCCUCCACCGCCUCGACGUCCCGGAUGACGCACGAUUCGCCCGCUACUUCGGCUGCCACAGGGGCUGCUGGCUCUUCCUCGCCUUCGGCCAAACCGAAGGGCACGCUCUCCUCAACGUCCGAACGGACCAGCGCAUCUGCAUCCCCAAUGCCAUGCGCAUUGGCCGUGGUCUUGGUGAGUACCCUAUGGUGAUCCACGGCGUCACACUCUCCUCUUGCCCGCUUGACGAAGGCUGUAUCGCCGCCACCAUCGUCAGCAGCCACCCGUCCUGUCCCAAGAUCACGUUCUGGCGCAUCGGUGAUCUUGUCGCGUCAGGAGCAUUUGGGACUUCUUGGUCUUUGAGGGUGGUUGACCUCAUAUUCCACGACGGCAGCCUUCAUUGCCUCACCCGAUACGAAAGAAUCCUUGUGUGCACACCAGUAUUCGCUGACGAUGGGCUGCUCGACGUUGGUAUGGAGUUGCGCUUGCUGCCGGGCCGUGGCUACGAUGGUCAGCACGUCCAUGGCCGGUACAUCUUGGAGUCCCGUAAGGAACUGCUUAUGGUGGUCAGAUUCUCUCCUUCGCCACUUGGUUUCUCCUUUAGGAAUGCUUGAGUAGCAGAAAUGGCGUUCUCAGUCUUGUUCCCCAUUGAUUAGCAGAAACGCCAUUCUCAGUCUUGUGCUCCAUUGAGCAGAAGAAAUUAAUGGCAUUCUCAGUCAGUCUUAUUCUCCAUUGAGCAGCAGAAUCACUUUAGUGGGUGGUUUUAUUGGAUUUCGCGAAAAAUGGUUGUAUUGGCCUCAUCACAUCAAAUGCAUUCAAUUAUGUAUCAUGCAGAUCCACAAGCUAGUUUAGCUGGUCGCAACUAUACAAGGGCAACCAAAAAAAAAAGUGCAAUGUAGCAACACAAAAUAAUAUUAUCGCAAAAAUUUAACAAACUGAACAAAAUUUUCCCAAGCUCAAGUUUCAAACAUAGUUACUGAGAGAAACCCUCAUUACCAAGUGCUGAAUCAUCAUACAGAGCAGCACUAUAGCUUCGUUCUGCAAAACAUCUCGUGCCAUUACAUGUUGUCCUAUGAACAUGUAUUGUACAUAUACAGAUUUUGUCACAACAAUGCAUGGUUUGCAAAAACAUCGAUCCAGAUAGCUGAUUUGUAUUAAAAAACAAGAUAGUUGAUGCUGCCACCAUAAUGUACAUAAUUCAGACAGAGAACUUUACACCGUCACAAUCACUGACCUUGAAUAUAGCAGCCUUUCCCUUUUGUUCCAGCAACCGCAGAGCAUGCAUUAGAAUGAUGCUAUCAAUUCCUGCAAGUUCUGCAUGACAAACGAAAUUAAAACGGAUAAGUAUACAAAUGGAAACUAUUCCAAGAUUUGUAGUAACUAUGCUCAUGUAAAUAGGAGGAUGCUACAUUUUAUGGGUGUUCAAUUUAUUAAGUUAUAAUGAGCAUAUCCUUUUAAAAAACAGUAACACUCACCUAAAGUAGUAAGACACUUUUUUUUUUCUGAGUUCUGAUCCAGAGAAAGGCUGAGUGUGACUAAAAUGUCUCAGCAUGGAGGAGUUUGGGGUUAAGCAGCUGUCGAUGUGCGCAUGGAGCAUGGUAACGGUCUUAUAUGCGGAGGGUUCAGCACCGGCGAUGUUUUCUUAUGCUUUGGUGUUCGAAUCCUCUAAGUUUCACUGUGCCGUUCAUGCCCAUGUUGUCAUCGGCGGCAGACUCGUAGCUGUCGAUAUGGAGAUGGUAGUUGGAGUCUGGCGGAUUGUUUUGACCCUCCGAGGUGAUUCUGAUGGCUACACAGUUGGUAGGAACUGCCUUGUGAGGUUAGCCUUCCACCUUCUCGUUUGCACGUUUUGGUGUUCUUUCACUCCUCUUGCGGGUUUGCUGCUCGUCGACUAGGGUUGGCCGGUGAGGCGACCGACCAUUGAUCCUAGUGAAAUCGAGGAUGGGUCGGAGCGUUCAGUGGAUAAACAUCAUGCUUUUCGGUGUGCUUCUUAUGGCCUUCUUAAAAAGUAACUCUUCGUCGAAUCGGAUUCAGCCAUGAGCUUCAUUUUGGGUCUUCUUCAUUGCGGGAGGUGGAGAAGAUCUAGGUUGCGGCAACAACAGUGGGCGAUGGCAACAGCUAUUGGGUGCUCCUAUGGUGGUCUUAUAUGUAAUUUUCUUUUCACUCAGCGGUACCCUCUUAGGGGCUUGGAUGUAAAGUACUGUAUUAAUAAAAUCCAACCCUUUUUCUAAAAAAAGCAACCAACACGGACCCCAAUAAAAAAAAUGAAUCGUACACUGCCCCAAAUCUCCGACUUCGUUUGGAUGUCGAUAUUGGAGGGCAUGGUAUUGAAUUAGGUUUAAUACCAAAUCCACCAUGGUAUUGAAAUGAGCACAAUUCAAAUUCUGCUGUUUGGAUGGCCAUUACAUUGGCUUAUGGAAUCCUGUAAAGCAGCUCAAUUCAAUGCCUGUUUGAUAUACAAAAGCAUGGAAUUGAAAUUUGGUCUUUGUUCCUAUCUGCAUGAACUUGUCACUCCGUGAGAAGGUGUCAAGACCGGUAGGAUCUGGGCAGGAAAAACAAACGAGGAAUCCAGAACUCAAGUGAAAUCAGAAAGGGGAAAGAGGAAUGGAGAAGAACAGCAGCUCGAUUUAACUGAACAUAGUCUUCAGAUACAGAAGCCAGCCAUGGUGGCAGCGCAACUAGAGCUACUGCUAUUCUAGAUAUAGUUUAGGGUUCAUACUCUUCGACAAUAACCCCAGACCACCGGUCGGGUCCUAUUACAACCCAUCUAAACGGUAAAGAUUAAAGGAGCUGUAACUGCUCUUACUAAGUUACUGUUAACAGUCUGAAAAACGGGUGAAACGCUACAGCGUGAGAGUGAAGCGAUCUCCGCCGCUGGAUGAAGGAUGGACGGUUCCUUGGAAGUCGCUGAAUCGUUCAAUCUGUCGCCGACUUGCACUUGAGCCUUCUGAAUGGAUGACUGAAUGGCUGGCGUCCCUCUGAAUGNNNNNNNNNNNNNNNNNNNNNNNNNNNNNNNNNNNNNNNNNNNNNNNNNNNNNNNNNNNNNNNNNNNNNNNNNNNNNNNNNNNNNNNNNNNNNNNNNNNNUCGUCGGCGGAGGGAGGCUGGGGAGGGGCAGCGCGGCUCGCCGGCAGACAGGGCAUGGGGUGCGGCGCGCGGCAUGCCGAGGGAGGGAGGAAGGAGAGGGGCGAGAGAGACGGAGGGAACGGGCGGAGGACGAUUCCAACGAAAACCGAGGGGGUGGGCUCGGUAUGAAGGGAGAGCGGGUGAGUGUCUCAUGAAUACCGAUCGGCAUUAGGGAUGAUUUCCAAUUCCGAAUUCGGGUGUUAUCAAUGUCAAUUCGGCUGAGUAUCUACAUCCAAAUGCAGUGCUAACUCUUCCGGUUCCUUCCUCUAAAAAAAAGAACUCUUCCAGUUCCUCGGCGGCUCGCCGUCGUCCACCCGCUCACCCGACCGGCCACCCACCACUAGUCCACCGCCACCGGCCUCCGAGCCCCAACUACCAAUCGCUCUAGUCUCGCCCCCACCUCUCCGGCACUCCCAUGGCUGAGCAUCGGCGCUGGACGGACGACCUCCCCGCCGACCUCAUGUCCGAGAUCGUCCGCCUCUUCCCGUGCGCAAAGGACCGCCGCACCAUCACCACCGUCUGCCGCACAUGGCGCGCGCGCGCCCAGAUCCCUCCCCCGCCACCCGCGCUCCCGUGGCUCCUCCUCCCGUCCGCCGGCUCGACUCCCGUCCACUGCUUCCUCAGCGACUUCCGCGUCCGCCACGACAUCGGUGCGCCCCCGCACGGCGCGCGCUACUUCGGGUCGCACGACGGCGCCUGGCUCUUCCUCGCCUACCAGACUCGCCGCCACGAGCUCCUCAACCUCCGCGACAACAGCAGCUAUGUCCUCCCCGACCUGGUCCGCCAGCAGCAGAACGACCGCGACAUGGUCAUCCUCGCCGCCACCCUCGUCCCCGCCGGGCCACCCAAACUGCGUCGGCGCCUGCAUCAUCGGCAGCUGGCCGGACAACCCCGCGCUCCGGCGCUUGGCCUUCUGGCGCAUGAGGUCUCUGUCGGCCAAGCCCGACUGGUUACCUCCAGUGGAUUUCGAGGUUGAGGACGUCGUGUAUCAUGGCGUCGCCUUCCAUUUCCUCACCAGAGGCGAACACAUCCGCGUGUGCGAGCCGGUUCUCGGUGAAGGUGGGCGGAUGCUGUUACUUCCCGAGCUGAAGUUCUUGCAGCCAGAGGGGCGCAACUACGACGGACUCGUCGUCCGUGCUCGCUACCUCGUGGCGUCCGGCGGGGAACUGCUGAUGGUCGUCAGGUUCGCUCCUCAACCUCUGUUGCUUUUUUUUUUUUUUGAAAAGGACGCAGGAGCACUGCUCAUUUAUUUAAGAGGGAGAAGUUCAAGGUUACAUGAAAUGCAAUAUUACAUAAAAGAAGUUUAACUCGAGUCUUAAGCAUCUAAACGAAUUAAGAUAUACCGCCCAGUGAAGGGCGCCCACAGGCACGUCUUCGCAGCUCAACAUCUUUCUGGAUUCUCAUCAAAAUCUGUGAUGGUCGUAGUUCCUGAUUUGGAAAGAUUCUCCUAUUCCUCUCAUUCCAUAUGUGCCAUGCUGUGAUUGUCAUGAGAGCGGCUUUUGAACGUCGUUGCUUUGUGCUCAAGUUCUUCAGCUGUCCUUGCCACCAUUCUUGCACUUCCUUAUCAUCUUGAGUUGGAGUAGAAACAUGUCCAUCCGUCCAUGUGCCUACCAAGAACCAAACUUGCUUUGCAUAGCUGCAUUGCAAACAUAAGUGAGUAGCCGUCUCCAAUUCUUGGUCACACAACGGGCAGAUGGUGUUUACUUGUCAAUUUCUCACGAGCAUCUUGUCUGCUGUCAAGAUCUUACUUUGCACCAACAACCAGACAAAGAACUUGUGUUUGGACUCAAUGUGUGCCUUCCAGAUAGUGUCUGCAUCUAUUGUGGUGUAUGUACCUGCAAACUGAGCUUCAUAGUGUCUGCAUCUGUUGCUGACUUCGUCGUUCAGGGUGUUCCGGGCCCGGCUCAGAUUCCCCAGUCCGACGAUGACGACGAGGAGGGUGAGGAUCAGGACAUGGACAUCGAGCAGGAGGUGGACGAUGAGGACGAUCAGGUCGCCGAGGUAGACGAUCAAGGCGAGGAGGUUGAGUACACCUGGUGCUGGGGCGAGCUGGACACGCUGGGUGCUGUUCGUGGGGAGAGGCUGCUCCAGAUCCUACGAGGUGGCCCAGUACCCGGGGUUCAAGGCUGGCAUCUACUUCUUGGAUGAUCGGAGCUUCUACGACGAGGGGAUGAUGUUCCGUGGUGUCAAUGAGAAGCAGUAUCCCUGCAACGACAACGGGAAGUGGUCAGAAGGACCACCUCCUGGUAUCAAAGGCUACGCCCCGCAGGACAGUUCGAACAACUGCUCUCCUCCGGCAUGGCUUCUCCCUUGAGACGGCAAGUUUUUGGCUACGAAACUCCAGUUCAUGAGUUUCAGAUGUACUGAUGUUUGCGUGCGAUUGACGAUGUGAAAUUGCCAUGUUGAUCGGGCAGCUGCUUAUUGCAUUUGCUAUUAGAUUGUUGCCGAAAGCCUGAAGACAGUUGCUGAUUGCAGAACAGUGAGAUUGUUGUUCAGAUCCAUGUGUUUCAUUUGUCAUGCCUUGUUAGUUGUUACUACUUUCUUGUUCUUUGUGGCACUCUAUCAGUUCACGUAAUUGAAAACAGAAAUGGUUGCCGAUAUAGGUUUUUUGUGUCAGGUGAUUAAUGGAGAAUCCAGUUUGGAACUUUGUGUGCUAGCGACCAGAAUGUUUCCUUAUUGUUUCACAAACUAGCAUGGAACUGGAGUAAUAUGAAUGGGAGCUGAACUUACUGAGAUGCAGAGUUGUUAAUACCCAUGAAGUCAUCUGAACCUACCCUCACUCUCCACAAGUUUCAUAAACUUCAUUUAUUUUAUGAAUUAAUAACUAGCUUGAUGUUCAUGUCAUGAAAUGCAGUACAUAUUCCUGUCGAAUUUAAAUGGAUAGUUGUGCCUGAAAAUGGGCAUGUUGGUAGGUAGCAUAUUCUUGAUAAAUCGUGUGCAUUUCUUCUUUGAAGAAAGAUGAUUUUGCGUGGCAUCUGAACUUCGAUUCUGUGGCCAACUGCAUUUCCCUGCCUCAUUUGCAACCCAUAGGCUUGACGUUAUGCUGAAUCGCAGAAUCCGUUAUGCCGAUGAGUCUCUUACUUGUGUUUUAUUAGUGUUGAAUAUACCACUGCGUCUACAUGUCGGUUGCUAUUUAAUUCAUAGCAGUUUGGGCAUGCAUUGCUUACCUCUGUCAGUGGUCCUUAUCGCAGUCCUGCUUCGUUUUGCCCUCUCUGAGCUUGUGAGUUUGUGAGGUGAACCAUCCUUUUUUUUUUCGAACUGCGCCUGUAGUAUGGCUGUAUAGAUCCAGGGAGGCGUAGGUGACCUCCGGUCUUCGAGGUGGCAUUCUUUUAUUUUCUUUGUCCGGUCUUUUGUAUUUGCAAAUCGAAGGCUGCUCUACGAGUUUUGGUAGUAUUUGUUUCCACACUUCCCAGGGAUUUUAGUUCAAAAAACCCUACCCAAACGUUUACCCUACCCACUUCCAGGCAUUCAACAUUAUAGCUUCAUCGUCUUGGUUUUGUUUUUAUUUUUUGUGGCGGAAUUCUUUCUUUUUUCAGGACAAGCUUCGUGUAACACCUUGCAAGCAAGCUUUUUACACGUCCAAGCGCCGUCGUAGGCUGCAAUUUAGGCCUAAUUAAAUCGGCCUUCAGUAACUUCUAGUGGGUCUACAUUGGGUCCAGGCCAUUCGACCCAACACAAUUCCGGUCCGAUUAGCCCAUCAAGCAACCUGCGUGCUUUCCAGCAAAACUCAUGCCAGCUAGCAACAACGCUCCUCUCGCCUUGGCUUCCCAGUCCACCGCCACCGGGAAGUGGUCAGAAGGGCCGCCUCCAGUUGUCCAGCUCUGCCCGCCGCAGAACCCUUCGAACCACUCUCCUCCGGCUUGGCUUCUCCCUUGAGACGAGCAGACGGCAGGUUUUUCUUCGCUAUGACCUUCCAGUUCAUUAGUUUGUGAUGCGCUGAUGUUUGAGUGCCGCGUGCGAUACAUGAUGUGGGAGUUGUGGUGUUGAUCAGAUAGUUGCUGAUUGCGUUGAGUGUGAGAUUGUUUCUGAAUGUUGGUGUUGCCUGUCAGUUUGAGUUUGUAGAUGGAAAACAUAUGUGUUUCAUUUGUAGUUGGUAAUCGCUACUCCGUACAACAAUUCCUGUACUUCGUGGCACUUCCAAGUUUUUGAAUUUACAUAUCUGAAUACAGAAAAUUGUUGGCUGGUUGACGUUUAAGACAUUCUUGUGUGAGGACAUUAAUUGUGAAUCCACUUUGAGAAUUUGUGUGCUGGUGAGAAGAUUGUUUCCUUGUGAUUCUACCCUAGUAAUAUUCUUGGAAGAUGAACCUAUGCAAUUCAGCAUUCUGAUUUUAUUUCCAUUGGCACUGUGACAGGGUACUGCAGGCGAGUGCCUAUGCUAGAACAGAAGGGAUGCAAAAUCUGGGAAGACUGUCUUAUAUUUUUUUACUAGUCUCCUCAAGUGUUAAUUUUGUUUGCUUACAAGCUUAUUUGUUUUUGCUGUAUUUACUGUGUGAUCUCUGAUUCUCAUCUGUGCAUGACACUGGUUGUUUAACACUAGCAGAAGUAGACUGCAUUUGUUCUUUAUAAUUGGUUGGCAUGGAAAUGUACAAGAUGACAGUUGCUACUAUCUCUCUCUCUCUCUCUCAUAGUUUGUUCAUUGUUCUUUCCAUGGAUAUAUACCAUAUGGUAUAAAUCGUUGUGAAUAUUCACGAAAUGUACAAGCUAAUCUGUUUAUUGAUUUUUUUUCUCGGUUCACAAUGUAGAACAUAAAAUUUUGAGUCAGAUGUUAAUUUUCAAGAAGUGGCUCUUAUUUAAUUGCGGAAUUGCUAGUUUAAUAUUCAUGUCAUGAAGUGCCUUACUCCUUCCAUUUAAAUUUAAAUGGACAGUUCAAUGUGAACAUUGGUGUGUUGGCACAUGUACAUUCUUGACAGACUAUAUUGUGUUUUGUGAGUUUAUCCACCCCUUACACGAAGAGGAUUUGCAUGACAUUUGAAUUUUGAUUCUGAGGCAAACACUAUACUCUAUCUCUAUGCACAGUCCUGUAUGAUGUUACUGAAUACUGAAGUUUUGAGAGGCUUGAGGUUCUGAUGGAUUUCAGAAUACACAGAGAUAUGCUGAUGAGCUUGUUACCUAUUGCUUAAUUAUCUGUUGAAAAAUGGAAGACCGCAUGAAUGCAGCUCACAAUCCAACCUCGUUUUAUUAUCAGCAUUCUGGGCUUUCAUUGCUUACCACUGUAUUCAAUAUGAUAAUACAGUGUAGAAAGUGAUUGUUACUUGCUAGUUGUCAGUACUUUGCUUUUCAUGAUGGACCCACUCAUUGCAUGACAUGGAAGCUGAUUUUGCUUAGUUUAACUAACUGAAGUACAGUUGUGUGUGGGAGAUGCAACUGGAUAAGUUGGUGCCUCUUCUUAGGCUCUAUGCACAAGGAACACUGAAGAUCCUGUCCAGCCUUUCUUGGAUUAUACAUUACUGAUAUGACUGAACUUCGUUCUCGUUCCUCAGCUCAGUCCUACGCUAUGUCCACGAUGCAGAUUGUUCUGCAUUUUGCGGUGUUGCGCACAUGAUUACUGAUGCAAAAAUCAGUAAGCCUAGUAAUGCUUAAUGGGAACUAUAUGAUGCUAUUCUCUCAGUGGUAAGCAGUACUUGUCAUGGUAUUCGUGCUCUGCAUUUUCAGUUUUUGCUUGCUUUUUUCUGAACUCGUGAGGUGAAGCACUUAGAUUUUUAACUGAACUUGUAAGGUAACUUGCAUUCUCUAUUCCAAUUGAUGGGAUGCGAAUAAGAAGAUUACCAGUAAACACUGAAGCAGUACUACAGUGGUAGGUAUCCAAGCGCAAUUGUUCAGCAAUGAGGGGUAUGUAAUUAUGUUUACAUAAUUGGUCAACCGUUACUGCUCAUACAGUAACACUCACAACUGCAGAGAGUUUGGCUUUAGCAAAUGACGUGAGUUCAGCUUCGCGCUGAUCCAGCACCUGAAUCCCUGGCAGCUAAGUGGGAAUGCCCUUGCUUACUGCAGUCCAGACCUUGGGGGUCAUGACGAUCGAAGAAGGUGUGUCGCUCUAGGCUAGCCGUGAAGAUGAACACAUCGAAGCGGUGGAGCCUAUCGCACUACAUCAAAAAUGAUUUGUACUAGCUCAGAGGCAAAUUAGCAUGCUGACGGGCGUGAUUGGCACCCAUCAGCAUAAAGGUUUCUCGGCAGGCGAACCAAGCACCCACCAGCGCAGAUCACCCCAUCCGUGCUGGCGCUGAGCUUAUAUUGCCCGCCAGCACAGAGGCCACUGUGCUGGCGGUCAUCCUAAGCCCACCGCCACCACAGAGGGGGUGAUCUGUUCUGGCGGUUAGCUUAUGUCGCCCGCCAGCACAGCUAUCACCAUAAAUGCUCUGUUCAUCUUCUUCUCCAGACAACCUUCCAUUUGGAGCUUCCCCGAGAGGAGCUCGGGAAAAGCUCCAAAAAAUACUAAAUCUAAGGGGGAAGAUUUUGCUCUUGAUUUCCUUGGAGGAGGUGGCUAUAUAAGGUGAGUUUAUGCCAUUACAACUAUCUUUUUGAACUUCUAUCCAUCAUAUCUAGCUUUAUUACCUUGUCAUUUAGAUCUAAAUCUACAACUAGGGGAGAGAGAGGAGGGAAGAGAGAAAAAAAAACUAGAAAUGAAUUAUUUUUGAAUAAAAUUCUAUAGUCAUAUUAUAACCAUUGCAAUGUUAUGUUUGUCAUUUUAAUAUAAUAUAGAAUUGAGUUUGAUUAUAUUUUUUCUUUUUAUUAAUUAUUACAUCCAUAGUUUUAAUUAAUGAAGUUGAUUAUUCUCAUUUAGGGUAAUAUAGAAUUGAUUUUUAUUAUAUUUUCCGUACUUAUUAAUUAUUACAUCCAUAGUUUCAAUUAAUGAAUUUGAUUGAAUUAAUAUAUAAUUGAGUUUGAUUUUUUUCAUUCUUCUUAUGAAUUAUUACAUCCUAGAUUUGGGCCCUGGUUGUAUCCGCUUAUUUCCCGCUUAUUGGUAGAAAUAAGUGAUAAACCCACCCAAACGCCUUGCUUAUUUCCCGCUUGUCACGUAAGCCGUUUAGUUGAAAAUCUGGAAUAGAACUAGCACCCAGCUUAUCUCGUACGCGGGUCUGGAGACGCUUCUGGGGCAAGCGGACCAUUUUUUCCCCAGGUACCCUCGGCCACCGACGACUCCAGGCGUCCGCCCCCGCGCCUCCCGCAACCACCACCGCUCCAGAUCCCGCCGCCGCCGCUCGGGUCGCCCAGCCCGCCUCCCUACCUUCAUCGGGCUUGGCCCCCACCGCGCCUCUAGCAACCACAGUCGCUCCUGCAGAUCCCGGCGCCGCCGCUCCUGCAAAUCCCGGCGCCGCCGCUCCUGCAGAUCCCGGCGCCGCCCCCCUGCAGAUCCCGGCGCCGCCGCUCGGGUCGGCUGGCCCGCCUCCCUACCUCCGCUGGCCGCCCCUGCUAGGCCCCCGCCGCCGGCCGCCCUGCCGCCCUGCCGCCUGCGCUCCGCCCCUGCCACGGGCCGCCCCUGCCGCCUGCGCUUCGCCCCCGCCACGGGCCGCCCCUGCCGCCUGGGCGCCGCCCCCGCCGCCAGACGCCCCUGCCCCCUGGGAUCCGCCCCCACCACCGGAUGCCCCUACCGCCUGGGCGCCGCCCCCGCCGUCGAAUGCCCCUGCCACCUGGGCGCCGUCCCCGCCACCGGACGCCCCUGCCGCCGGAUGCCCCUGCCGCCUGGCUCGGUGAAGUGUUGCGGCCGCCCCUGCCGCGUGGCUCGGUGAACAAGUUUUGAGGGUAAGAAAGUGUUGAGUGUAAGAAAAGCUAUCAACUAGUAUUGAAUACCUACAGCAAUAGGAAGAUUACAGAACUUGAUAGUGUUGGAUUGUUUCAAUGCCAAGCUAUCAACUUUACCAAAGGGCAUAGCUAAACUUAAAAGGAUGAGGUACUUGUAUGCUUGUACACUUCCUAGCAGUGCUAAAAUUGCACCAGCUGAAGGACCCAAGCGUGCCUAAUGGCAUAAGACACCUGACAGGGAAUAUUUCUCUCCAGUGUGUUAAAGCUAGUUUAGAGACCUUGAGCAACGUCGGAGCUUUAACAAAUUAAGGACAUUUUCGGUCUCGGAAGUGUUGUGUAUAUUUGAUUAAUUGCUCUAGGUUGUAUUCCAUGGCUGCGGAUGAUUGUUAUUUAUGCUAACAUGUCAAAUUUGUCUGUAGAUCAAUUUCGUAUGUUCAAUCAUUUACUUCCCCUAUAAAGAUAGAGUACUUGCAAUUUGCCAAACCUGUCCAUUAAUUCAAUUAACUACAUUUCUUUUUCACGACUUAUGCGUAACCUUUCUACUUGGUGGUUUAAAUGAAGUCAUUAAAUCUUUUUUCAUUUUGCAUUGGAGUCUCUUUGGAGCUGUAUGAUGAUAGAGUAGCUCAUAACAAUUUUAUGCAUGCGUGCAGUUGCUGCAGAGGAUCUGGAUAGCUGUAGCUGCUACGACUGCAAGGCCACCAACAAAUAGCAAGGUAAAAUUUGUGUCACUUCUUGAUGGAUUGCUAAAAUGACAGAUUGUGGGUUGUAUAGUCAGUGAACAAGCUCGUAGAUUUGUAUUUAAUUCUACAAUACUGUAAUCAAAUUUUAGAUGGAAAAGUCGUCAAAGAUUGUGGCAAAAUGGGAUUCAUUUGCCGCGAAAGCUUUCAAUGACAUUUGUGUGGAAGAAGUACUUGCUUUCAAUCGACCGCAACAAUAUUUGAAUGCAGUGGGAUAUGCAAACCUUCUUAGAAAGUUUUAUGAGCGUACCAAGAGGCCAUACGGUGAGAGUCAAAUGAAGAAUAGGUGGGAUAUAUUGAAAAAAAUGUAUACCCAAUGGAAGACUUUGAACUUGAGAUCAACCGGAUUGGGGAGAGAUCCUGUUACUGGUUGUAUUGUGGCUGAUGAUGAAUGGUGGGAAGAACAAAAUAAGGUGAGCCCACUAACAAUCAUACUAGAGAUAUAGUUCACAUACACGCUGUUUGUUUUUUUGAAUUGGAGUAUAAUAGCAUGCUGUUUUGGUGAUAUUUUACAGGCUAUGCCAGGUUGUAUCCGGUUCGGAACAGCUCCGCUUAAAUAUGAGGAUCAGAUGCGAAUCAUGUUUGAAUCGGUCAUUGUUACAAAUGAAACUUGAUAUGUUCCAAGUGGUGAUGGAAACAUUGAUGUUGAUGAACAUGAUGUUGUUGAUGUUGAGGGCAACAAUGAUAGGGAGGCACAUAAGGCCCCAUCCAGUUCUGAGUGGAGGGCUUCAAAAAGGCCAGCUCCUAGUUCCCCUAAAGGAAAGAAGAAGAAGACUUUUAGAGACCAGUGCAUGAAGUGGUUGGUCGAUGCAUAUGAGUUGAAAGCUCAAAGUAGUAAACAUUCAGCUACUUCACAAGUUGUUGAUCACGUUAGAGAUGAGAUUGGAAGUAUGUUGGAUCAAGUAAUUAAGGAUGGGGCUGAGGAGGGGAGUGAUGAACACUUCUAUGCCACACAAAUUCUUCAAAAAAAGGAAAACCGCGAUGUGUUCAUUACAUUGAAGACACCAAAUGGGAGGUUGAAUUGGCUGAGGAGGGCUUGGGAGAUAAGGAAGAAGCACUAGGGUGUUGCAUUAGUGUGCCAUUUCUCUUUCAUUUCUCUUAUGUUGUGUGAGACAUAAUUUCAAUUUUCUAAGUAUGUUAUGUGAGACUAUGAACCUUCUAUUAGUUGUGUUGUAACAAUAAAAAUUCAUCUGAUGACUUGGUUAGUGCUUUUUGAUAGGCUUGCAUUUGUUUUGAUGAGUACCUCUAGUGCAACUAGUGAAUGUGAAGGCAACAAUGAUUCUAUUCAUACCAUGGAUGUUGAUGAAUCUGAUGACACUGAUGAUGAUUACAUAGUGGCAAUGCUUGGUCUGGACUACAUGGCAUCAUCUGGUAUGAACAAGAAGAAGAUUACUACUACGAUAGCAAGGAUGACUGGAAUACAGUGGGUUGAGUUGCAACUACAAGAUCCAGUGGAGUGCUUUAACAUGUUCAGAAUGAGGAGGCCAGUUUUCUUAAGCCUUCAUGACACUUUGGUGCAAGAUUAUGGAUUAAGAUCAAGUAGACAAUUUUGUAGCAAGGAAGCACUAGGAAUGUUUCUAUGGGCUUGUGGUGCACCUCAAUCUUUUAGGCAAUGCAAGAAUAAUUUCCAUCGCUCAUUAGAAACUGUGAGUAGAAAAUUUGAAGAGGUUCUUGAAUCUAUCAUGAGAUUAGUUGUUGACAUUGUGAGGCCUAAGGAUCUACAAUUUUCUACUAUUCAUCCUAAACUACAAGAAGCAAGGUUUUAGCCUCAUUUCAAAGAUUGCAUAGGAGCAAUAGAUGGUACCCAUAUACCCGUAACUGUGCCAUUAGCUGAUCAACCGAAAUACAUUGGUCGGCAUGGGUAUCCUUCACAAAAUGUCAUGGCGGUACGUGACUUUGAUAUGCGGUUUACAUUUGCUAUCACUGGUUGGCCUAGUUCUGUCCAUGAUACUCGUGUAUUAUUGGGACACGCUUCUCACAUACCAGGAUCAAUUUCCACAUCCUCCCAAUGGUAAGGACGAGUUAUGUUGCAAUUUUNNNNNNNNNNNNNNNNNNNNNNNNNNNNNNNNNNNNNNNNNNNNNNNNNNNNNNNNNNNNNNNNNNNNNNNNNNNNNNNNNNNNNNNNNNNNNNNNNNNNAUAUUUGGUCAUUGUGAUAUAACAUAUAAAUAUAACAUGCAGGCAAGUACUAUCUUAUUGACUCUGGAUAUCCUAAUAGAAAAGGAUUUCUUGCACCCUACAAGGGAUAGAGGUAUCAUGUUUCUGAAUGGCAGCAUGGUCAGCAUCCGGUAGGAUUGAAAGAAGUGUUUAAUCAUGCACAUUCAUCCCUUAGAAAUGUGAUUGAGCAAUCAUUUGGAGUUAUAAAGAUGAAGUGGCGCAUUCUCUUGAAUUUGCCCAGUUAUCCGGUUAACAAGCAGUCAAAAAUUAUAGUUGCUUGUAUGGCCCUUCACAAUUUCAUCAGAGAUAGUGCCGUAUAUGACGUGCAUUUUGAAGAGGAUUUUGAGGAAGAUGAUGGUAAUCCAACCCAACCUAGCACAGAUGGUGGUGGUGGUGCUUUAGGAGAUGACAUUGAUAUGGGUGCAUUGCGUGAUGCUAUUGCUGUCGCUAUGGUUUCGUGAUUUGUUGUUGUACCCAUGAUGGAUGUUUCCAUACUAGACCGAUCUAUCAUAUGAAUUUCAUAUUAUUGUAAUGUAAUUUCUAUUUAACAAACUCCAAAGGCAUUAGAAUUAUAGUCUUCUCCUCAGAUUCACAAUAAAAAUGAGCUAUUAUCAGCCUUAGGGGCAUUCAGGUCAAUUUACCAACCUGGACAGACAAUCGACACAAAAUAAUCAGGAUUGCCAAACACCCUGCUUAUUCAGACAACAGAUUCUCCAGGCAACAGGCUUAUCAGAUAAGCUUGCUUGCCAGAUAAGUGAGUUCCAGAAAAGCGUAUACAAACAGGGCCUUAACUGCUUGGGAAAAGCUCAAAAACACCAACUCUAAGGGGGAAGGUUUUGCUCUUGAUUUCUCUGCUCUUGAUUUCUCUGGAGGAGGUGGCUACAUAAGGUGAGUUUGUGCUAUUCCAACAUUCCUUUUCAACUUCUUUCCAUCAUUUAUAGCUUCAUUAGCUUUGGGGUAAUAUAGAAUUGUUUUUUAUUAAAUUUCUUGCUACUUGUUAGUUAGUACAUCCAUAAUUCAAUUUAGUUUAUGGAAUAGCUCUUUAAAUUAGUUAAUAUAACAUAGAAAUUUUGUCAUAGGUUGUUAAAGAUAGAUCAAAGACCAUGGAUGUAUGGCAUACAAAAUUUGCCUCCUUUCAUGUCAGAGGUAGUGAAGUUUGUGGAGGCUACGAAAAAGUACGCUCGCAUUUGCAAGACAAAGCAAAUACGUUAUCCGUUUUUUGACUGUAGCAACAAAAUUGUAUGGGAGGAUACUAAUGUCAUCAAAAGGCAUUUGAUAAAGCGAGAUUUUAUGGAUGGCUACACAAUUUGGUCCCACCAUGGAGAGGUAGGAGGUACUUCCAACAACACAGACAUCAAUAUUGGCUAUGAUGAAGUGGGUGGUGAUGAAGUAAACGACAAUGAUCAUGUUAUGAUGGAUGAUGAUUAUGACCGUGGAGAUCAAAAUGGUGAUCAAACAUAUGUGCGUGUGGAACCACAGGUUGAUGAGGAAUGUGAUGUUGAUAUGGAGGACAUGUUGCACCACUUUGAACCAGAAGUGUUGAUCGGGAGUGCUAAAGGGUUAGAGAAUUUCGAGAUGCUCAAGAAGGUAGCAAAGGACCAUAUGUAUGUGUGAUGUGGGAAGGAGUGGACAGUGUUGUGUUUCGUCCUUCUGAUCCUGAAGGCUAAAUUCGGCUGGUCAGACAAUAGUUUCAAUGAUCUCCUUACUCUGCUGGGCAAUUUGCUCCCGAAGCUCAACUUUGUGCCAAAAAACACAUACGAAGCAAAGAAGAUUAUCAAUCCAUAGAAGAUGCAUGUGUAGAGAAUACACACAUGCAGGAACUACUGUAUAUUGUACCGCGGUGAGUGCGCGACAUUGGAAAAGUGUCCAAAUUGCGAUGCUAGCCGUUACAAAAUUAAUGAUGAUUUCUGUGAGGACCGUGCUAGUUCCUCCAUCGGGAAUAAGAGGAAGAAGGUUGAAAAGAAAAGUGCUGGUGCUUACGUGGAGGACGAGUUCUGUAUCAGUACUAACAUGAUGACUCAGUGCAGAGUCCUUGCCUUGGUGCUGUGGUACUUGCUGGUAGCGGACCGUCUGAAGUGUUUGUUCUCAAACCCAAAGAUCGAUGAAAUGAUGACUUGGCAUGCUGAUCGCCUAGGAAAGUAUGACGAAAAGCUUUGACAUUUUUCUGAUGCUCGCUAGUAGAGGACCUUCGAUGCCAAUCAUCUAGAGUUUUCGAAUGAAAAAAGGAAUGUACAAUUCGCAUUGAAUACAGACGACAUGAAUCCGUUUGGUGAAAGAAGCAUCACGCACAAUACAUGGCUAGUGCUGAUGACCAUAUACAACCUUUCCCCAUAGCUAGGUCACAAGAGGAAAUUCCUUUUGCUAACCAUUCUCAUACAAGGCCCGAAGUAGCCUGGCAUCGACAUAGAUAUUUUCCUUGAGCCAUUGAUGAAAGUUAUGCAGAAACUUUGGGAAGAUGGGGUUCGGAUGUGGGAUGAGUACAAACAUGGGCACUUCACACUAAGGGUCAUUAUCUUUGUUACCAUCAAUGAUUAUCCCACCUUGUUUGCCCUGACAUGUUAGGUAAAAGAUAAGACAACAUGUGUAGUUUGCUUGGAUGGAACACCAUCUAUGUAUCUUAAGGGAUCUAUGAAGAGAGUGUUCAUACGUCAUAGGCGCUUCUUAUUGAAGAUACACAAAUACCGUAGGAUGAAGGACUUCUUCGAUGGCACCAAUGAGAACGACUUUGCUCCAAAACUGGCUACUGUAAAAUAGUAUUUGAAAUUUGUGAGAAGGUCAAGUUCAAACUUGGUAAGAAGUCAUUAGGUGGUGCUGAUAAGAUGAGAAGGGGAAGGAAGCAGGCUGAAACUACAGACGUCAUAGACGUGCCGUUUAAGAAGAUGUCUAUCUUCUUUAAGUAUUUGCCAUACUGGUGAGAGCUGGCAGUGUGCCAUACCAUUGAUGGGAUGCAUCAUAAGAAGAAUAUGUUCGAUAGCACCAUCGGACUCUUGGGCUUAUCAGGCAAGGCAAAGGAUGGACUAAAAUCACAAAAGGAUCCUGUUCACCUUCAAAUCAGGUCAGAGCUCCAUCCGCAAGAACUACCUAAUGCUAAGCAUUACCUUCCCCCGGCUAGCUACAACUUAACCCAGCAGAGAGAUUGGCCAUGUGCAAGUGCUUGCGCGGGUUGAAAGUGCCAACCAGAUUCUCAUCAAACAUGUUGAAACUUCUACCAAACAACUUAUAUGUAACUUACUAAAUAUAAAAAAUGUACUGGUGUAUAUAAGAUAAUUAUUUUUAUGUGUUACUUCACAAUGGUGCAUAAAAUGAAAAUAUAAAAAGAAAAAUGUAAAGUAGAGUAGAAAGGAAACAAUGCCUGCAUAAGAAAUGCAUAAGAAAUAUUUGAGUGCAAUAUUUUGAACCAAUUGAAAUAUUUUUAUGUCAAAUGCAUAAGAAAUAUUUUGAGUGUAAUAUUUUGAACCAAUUGAAAAUUUUUGAGUGACCAAUUGAAAUAUUUUGAACGAAUUGAAAUAUUUUGAACCAAAUGAUAUUUUCAACCAUUUAGGUGUACAAAUUUAUGUUGAUAUGCAUAAAUUCAUAAAUAAUUUUUAAUUGCAAGUAUUACAGUUUUGCAUAUUCAAUGCUGCUUCUACCUGCCACCACAAAUAGAGAUGCCACAGCGCGAUGAAUCGUGCUACGUCGAUACGCGCGCGUCCAUGAUAGCGUCGCAAAUCCGAACUCCAAUCCGUCUCCAUACCGUCUCCAUUCGAUCUUCGACUCGCACGAAGGCGCCUGGGCGGCCUGGCCCUUCCUCGCUUUCGACCAGACUACCGACCACGAGCUCGUCAACAUUGCUGGCAGGGACGGACCUGCGUCCUCCCUGAAGUACGUGGUCCUUCAGGACAAAUGGACAGCCAUGGCCAGAAUCCCCGCGGCAUGGUUUUCCUCCUCGCCGUCGCCCUCUCGUCCCCGCCGGGUGAUGCCUGCUGCGUUGCCGCUGGCAUUGUCGCCUAAUAUCAGCCGGACGUCCAAGCGCCGCGACGCCGCCGCUUCGCGUUUUGGGCCACGGGGCAUGACGUGGCCUACGAGUUCGCCACCCUCACGACGCUGGCAGCCCAAGCCCGGCCAGGAGACGGAGUCCCGAAUCCGGAUGCGCAACGCACGCGCCUGAUGUGACGUGGGUGGACGCAUAUACACAGGCAGGCGGACGAUCAGGGGGGCAGACGAGACAUGCAAAAAAAUACGAUCGCUCGCGGCGUAAUCCGAAACCGAGAUCGCGAUCAUGUGACGGACACCACGACUGUCCAACCGGAGGCGGCAAUGUUGAGGCCCCGUUUGGAUACGUGUGCUAAAGUUUACCACCUAUCACAUCGAAUAUUUGGAUGCUAAUUGUGAAUAUUAAACAUAGGUUAAUUAAAAAACUAAUUGCACAGAUGGAGUCUAAUUCGCGAGACGAAUCUAUUAAGCCUAAUUAGUCCAUGAUUUGACAAUACGGUGCUACCGUAACCAUUUACUAAUGACGGAUUAAUUAGGCUUAAUAGAUUCGUCUCGCGAAUUAGCAUAGGGUUCUGCAAUUAGUUUUAUAAUUAGCUCAUGUUUAAUCCUCCUAAUUAGCAUCCAAACAUCCGAUGUGACAACUGCUAAAGGUUAGCACCUUGUAUCCAAACGCCGAGUUGGCGCUCGCGCGCUGGCCCACCGGCCACGUGCUGCUAGUGCGGUCUGGUUUUUCUCUUUUUCUCUUUUUCCUUUUCAAUUAUUUUUUCAAUGCAAUUUGUAAUAAGUAAAUAUUGUUAUACAUAUAAAUUAUAUGCACAAGUUGAUUAAUAACAUUUUCGUGCCGCCCCUCGCCAACACCACCACCAGCACCUCUGCUGCCUCGUGAAGCUGCUGCGACCGCCCGACGCCUCCGCCCGGCACCAGCCCCGUCGGAACACCGCCGCCUGUAGCCAUCGUAGCCGCACGCCGUCUGCUGUUGCGUUCCGCCCCGGCCGAGCCUCCCGUCAUCCACAACUGCUUCAAAUCGGCUUAAGGUGAGCCCGUAAGCCUCCCCGGACCCUUACUGCCCCAAAGCCGCUGGCGAGUCGCCGGAAUUUCAGCCGGCCGCCACCACCGCAUGCUUGGGGACCCGAUUGCGAUUUAGAAAAUUGAAUAAGGGGCUCUAGUGCAAAAACCAAGGACCCCUACGCAAAUAAAGUCUAGACGUGAGGGCUAGAUCGGUUUUUUAUAAUCGGCAAAAAAUAUGUUUAACUUUGGAAAUUCAUCAAAACUCAUAGAAAAUUCAUAAAAAUGUCAAACCAAUUUUGCUAGACUCAGUAUAAAGUGCAGUUUCUAAUAAAAAUACUUUUGGCACAUGUCUCUACUAGGAUUAAUGUUAUAUGAUUUAAACCUUGUUUAAGCUAAUUAAAUCAUAACAAAUUAUAGAAAAAUGCUAAAAAGGUAAAUCCAAUGUCCAAGUGCUUUUUUCAGAGAAUGGAAGCUUAUAAAAAUAAUGUGGAGCCUAGCUCAUGUGUUUAAAUCUCUGUUUUAGGUUUAUCAUGGAAAUCUAAGGUUGCUCUUGUCUUUUUGCACAAUAAUUAAACCAGAGACGAUAAAAAUGUGAAACCAAUUGGAAUAAGUCAGUGAUAUAGUGUAGUUUGUAGGAACAAUAUGGAGCCUGAUCAUAAAUAGAAAUAAAAACCACUUUCCUUUUUAGGGAAGAAUAAAUAGGGUAAAUGUAUGGAAAGAGAUACCCUUCACUAAAAAUUAUGAAAAAAUCACCAAAAGCUUUAUUUCACCUCUGGAACCUACUGUUAAAAUUUCAUCCUCAAAUUCAUUAUGGUUUCUGUUUUAAAAAUGGUUAAGUGUAUGCUACCUUAGGGUAAUAAUAAAGUAAUUCUAAUUCUUUUAAUGCACCUCCAAUGGACCUCAAAUUUAUGCAGUAGCUUAUCUAUGACAAGGUUAAGUUUCUAUCAAAUUUGUGGCUUCCUAGCUUGCUGUUUUAAGAUGGAAAUAAAAUUUGGAAGAUGAACCUAGCUAAGUAAAAGAAAGAAACCUCGAAUAAUGAUAAAGGUAAUUUUUGGAAGAGAUACAAAAGAACAUUUAGAAAUAGGAUAACUUUCCGAUCUAAGGUUUAGUAAAGUUAAGUUAUAUAUAUGUACACAAUCACCAUCAAAUUCACCCUAGGUUUUGUACCACAACACACCUUACCUUGUGCAGAUAGAGAAGGUGUAGAACCUUGUUUAGGUGAAUAUGGUCAUAAUGUAAUUUCUAUUUCAGUGCAAAUUCGUGUUUUGCAUUCUAUGAGAAAGCAUGGAAAUUAAACUGGAUGCAUUUGCAUGUCGUGUAGAGUUGAACCUCGUUGACUGGACAUACGAGCUUCACCCGGCGUCGGAAGAAGAAGCCGUAGCGGAUCUGCAGCUAGUCAGAGCCGAGCCCGUGCAAGAGCAAGUCGAGGACCAGCUAACUAACUCUGAGUUUAAAGGCAAGCCCUGGAGCAUAAAUUCCUAUCUUUAACUACUUGCAAUAUAUUUGGUUGCUUGAUUGUGCAUUUACAUUUUUAGGAAUUGAUUGAUACCGUAGAUGCAUGAAAUAGUGCCCUUUGACCUGAACACUAGUAUGAUAGGUCGAGUAGUUGAAAUGCUUAAUAGGACUCGGUAAAAGUCGAGUGAUUGACUGUCACUCGUGAGUUAUAGGAGUUGUUUGCUUUCCUUUUUGUCACAACUAUAAGGACGAUGGACGGGGCAGGUCUCUGUGAACUAUUUUGGUGGUCGGUGAAUUGCCCCAUCUGUCUACAUGAAAUUGGACUAAGGUCGAGAUGUGGUAGUGUUCAUGAUCAAGUAUUUGAAAGUACUAAUCUCAUACCUAGUAUGGGAUGGGGAAGCCUAGUACCUGAUUGAACCGGAACGUGAGUGGAUCGUUCCACUAUCUCUGGAACGGAGUUCCCUUGCGGCCGCAUGUGGUGACAAGUGCGGUCAUAGAACGGCAGAGGCCGGGUCUAUGGAGCCUUGUACCAAGGGAAGUGGGCCUGACAUGAGUUUGGGAAUUGAUGGGGACGGCUGACAAAUGAAGCGAUCAUUCGCAGUGCGCGGAUGUCGUGGGAUUAGGUUCGCCAUGCAUGGUUAAGAAAUUUGAAUUGAUUCGUCUACCUCUCACAGUUUAGGACUACUUGAUCGCUAUGCUACACUGAGUAAAAAGGAAAGAUGAUGAUGAUCAAAUUUUGUUAGCUGUCAUUAAUUGCUUGGGAACUAUGCUUGAUUAGUAUAGUGGCUAACUUAGACUGGUAAAUGAAUGUAGAAGUGGUGGCUAAAACAUUGAAAUUAAGGACCUACACUAGUCGCUUUUGGCAAAAAUCAACCUUAGAGCCAAAAAGCUCGCAUGUCUAGGUGUUGGUUGAGUAAUACCACCGGUCGGUUAAGUCUUGUUGAGCGUAGUCGCUCAGCCUUGUUGUGGCACAUCUUUUCAGGUGAUGUUGAUGCGUCUGAGCUCGCUGCAAGUAGCACUUGGCCUCCCCAACCUCCUCCUGGUUGGACGGGUGAGUGGGAUCCCUCCUCGGACGACGAGGAUCGGGAUCAAUGAUGUCAUGAUCGGCUUCGUCAUGAUAUCCUGCAACGACGUUUAGCUUCUGCUCAGUUAUUUCGGUUGUUUAAGAACUCUGCAAACUUUGCUUGAAUUUCAAACUUGAAGUUGUAAUAAUUUAAUGCACUUGUUUAAUUAUGAUGGACAGUUGUAAUCUCUGUAACCACUCGCCUUUGUGCGAGUCUUGCUUUCUCGAUCCUGAGGUAAGUGGUUUAUCGGAUGAAAUCCGAUGGACGACCGAAUUGACUUGAUUAAAGUACAUGAUCGCAUGUUAAAUGACUUAAGUGUGUUUUAGCCAAGUUAAUUUGGGCGGUUCCGCCACACCGCGCCACCACACGGCCGGCGCAUGCCCCCACGCACCAGAGAGGGUGGGUGCGCGGGUGGUGGUGGGAUCGACGAAGAGAGAGGGAGAGGCGACGGAAGAUAGAAGAAUGGAGGAGGAAGGUAUGGUAACUUUACCUUAGCCCAUAUGCAAGGUAGUUUUAACAAUUCCUCCAUGCUAACAAUCACCCUUCCAGCCCAACCAUCAUCAUGGGCUACAAAUUUACCAAACAGCAUCUCUACAUCCAAUGAGGCUGGCUGGGCUGGCUCGAGCCUGGCUGAGACGCUGCAGGCUGCCAAACGCGCCCUACAUGGCUGCCAGUGCCAUUGCCGUCAUGAUUGCCUUGUUGGAGCCCACGCUUGGCCACACAUGGCAUAUUGCGCCGCCACGCCAGAUGAUUCCUGCGGUCAGGUUGUUAGGGAGACAGCUUCAGCAAGUAAGGCCUGUGUGAUCGACCUCUCUUCGGUGGGUUUUUGAGGCGAGUUGAAAUGCCGGCGCACCCGUGGCGUCUCGUGAUCGUGAGGUGGUGGCGUGGCGCUGGCGCACAACGUUGCCCGCUCACGCUUUGAAUUGCUUCGGGCUCAGAGUAUGUUUUCCCUACAGUGACGGCGGAUUGGAAAACCCGCCUCACUCCUGCCGCAGUGCCCAAAACGGGAGCUCCAAAGCCCAGACUACUCACAACCCCGGCAUCUCCCUCCACCUCCCACCACCGCGAGGGGCGACCCGAGAACACCACCAGCACGGCCGCCAUGUGGCGCCGCCUCCAAACCCUAGCCCCCUCCCUCCGGUGCGUCGCCGCCACGCUGUCGUCCUGCGUCCGCGCCGCGCCCCUCUCCACGGCGUCGGCGGCGUUCCGGCACACCUCGCCCCUCCUCUCCUCUCCUGGUAAGCGCCCCCGGCCCGGCCCGGGCCUCAGAUCUCCAGCUGUUUCGCGGCUCUCCUGGAGCGGCUUGUUCUGAUCGAUGCCCUGUGGUGUGGUUGCGAAGGUGACAAGCUGGCGCCGACCAAGGUCGAGGAUGUCAUGCCGAUCGCCACGGGGCUAGAGCGCGAGGAGCUCGAGGCGGAGCUCCAGGUGAGGGGUGUCGCGGUUUGGGUUUGCGUUUUGUGUGGGGUUGCGGCGGCAUUUUAACCUGAAUCUGUCGCGUGCUUCUCCAGGGGAGAAGAGGUUCGACAUGGAUCCUCCCGUCGGCCCCUUCGGCACUAAGGUGAGUUGAUUGCUGCUCUGAAAUUUGUUAUCUGCAAUACCUGAGUUUGUAGAAUCGCACCAACUGUGUGAUGUGGUAUGGAAAAUGCAAGUCCAAUUCAUCUCUAGCCGCCCUGCCAGUGGUUCAAUUUGUGAUAGCCGCAUGACAAAAAUGUGUACAGUAGUUGUUUCCUUGCAUCAACUUGUGCUAACUGCAACUAAUGAUGUAUCACGUAACUCUAGCAUGUUUGUAAGUAACACAUUUUUGGCUCACCAGAUCCAUCUCUUGUUACUCAUAUAGUGUAGCAAAUUAUUGAGUAUUUGAAAUGUUAUCAUGCUUAAACUACAUUGCCUGAAGGAGUUGUUCUAAUACACCAUCAGUCAGCCAUUACAUGAAAAUGAAAUCCCAGGGUAGCUUAUAACUAACUUGUCACUUGGAGGUUUGCAUUAAGUAUCAAUGCUUGUUGUGGAGUGCGCUUUGAUGUUUUCAACUUCCUAUCCUUCCAUGCUGAGAUGGUGCACUGUCUUGCAGUGAUUGAAUACACUUUAGUACAUGGGCUACUCCUGUUAGCAGAAAGAGCCCUGGCAGAUAAGGUGGAUGUAGUAUGCCACUUAGCUAGGCAACUGUGAAGGCAAAGCAUAAACGUAACAGAUCUGUUUUAAUGCAUAAUAGAUUCAGACUGUGUUUUUCACUUGUUUGUGGUUCUGCUAUUGUUCAAUCCUAGGCAUGGCCUCCUAUGCAUUCUAAGUACUGACAUUGCCUGCAUAUUUAGUCUAGAUACGUGGAAGUUCUUGAUCGGUCCUUCCCCAGCUAUUUUUCUUUUGCAUACCUGACUUUCUAUGCCACAUUAUUGCUCAAUUGUUCUGAACAACAUAAAAGACUCGAUAUGUAGGGGCCUUUCUCAUCGGGCAUGGCAAAUUAUAAAGUAAUUGAAGUUUAUCGUGCUUAAGUUUCCUUAAGGAGCUUUUCUAAAUACACCAUUGGUUGGUCAUACAUGCACUGAACUAUCACUUGGACUUGUAUUAAGUGUCAGGCUAGAUUUGUUUAUUGCUUGUUGUGGAGUGCACUUAGAUGUUUUCAACUACAAUCCAUCAACUUCCUGGUCUUUCAUGCUGAAUUCAUGCACUGACUAGUGACUCCAAUGUUCUUUGCUUAAGGAUGCAGUUGAUCAUGCUUGUGAUUGAAUACACUGUAACUACAUGUGGUACCCAUGUUAACUAAAGGAGGCAAUGAGCCCUGUUAGUGAUAGGUAGGUUUAGUAUAAACUUAGCUAGGGAAUUGUGGAGGUAAGCAUGCAACCUAAGAAAACAAUAAUACGUUGAAAAUUUAAUACACUACAUGGGUAUAUUGUUGUUUUCACUUGUCUGUGGUACUGCUGUUCCUAUUCUUGAGUCCUAGGCAUGUCCUCCAAAGUAUACUAUGUCUGACAUUACCUGCAUAUUUAUUCUAGAUAUGUGCAGAUACUUGAUCAUUCUCUUCUUUAUAUUUUGGUUUUGCAUAUGAGAUUUUCUGUGGUGCAAGAUUGUUCAUUUGAAUGCCAUGCCUGCAGGAGGAACCAGCUGUGAUAGAAUCCUACUAUAAUAAGAGAAUAGUUGGCUGUCCUGGUGGUGAAGGAGGUAUGUCAAGGCUAACCAUAUAUGAUGGUUGUAAGUGUUAAAUAUGUAACUCACCAUAACUGGUUAAUUCUUCCAUCGGGCUUAUUGCAGAGGACGAACAUGAUGUUGUCUGGUUUGGUUUGGAAAAGGAUAAACCACAUGAGUGUCAUGUCUGCUCGCAGUACUUUGUGGUAACUGAAAUCAAUGCCUUGGCUGAUUGUUAUAAAAGAUGUCCAACAUUAGUUGAUUUUGCUGUUAGUUACCAGUGGUGAAAUAUUCUUUUUGUUGACUUUGUGCAGCUCAGGGCCAUUGGUGACAGAGGUGAUCCAGAUGGGCAUGACGACGAUGAAGAUGAACAUCAUUGAGGCCAUGUGUCAAUUGGCGAUAAUAAUAACCUGGUGAUACAUGGUUUUGGUUUAUCUUUGCAGUAUCGAACUGCUCUAUAGUGUUGUAAUUGAUGAGUGUUUGACCAUGAAGCAGGACAGGUGGUGUUUUUCGCCUAUGGAUUUUGUUGGAACCGUGUAGACUUUACAUGUGUUUCUGUUUGGCAUGUGCAUUUUUUGUUGAGUGCAUCAUCAAAUAAAGGAUGAGUGCAUUGAUCUGUUUCACUCUAGUGACCAUAAGGUGUGGCUUUGCAAUGUUUGUAUUCUUUUUUUGUUCCGAGAUCAAUGAGGCCUUGUGUCUUGAAGUUGAGAACAGCUUCUUGAAGUUGAGCAGAUGGCGAGUAGGACACAGCUGAUCCCAGUUCUUGAGCCCGGCUUGUGUUUUACUUCCUCCGUUCCAAAUCGCAUACAAAUAUUUAUGAACUAAAUCGCAUAUAAAUAUUUAUGAACUGACAAUUUGGAACGAUUUGGUGAGGGGAUGGAAUGGACAAAUCGCAUAGAUGUUUGUGCACAUAUAAAUAUCUAUAAACUAGAAAAACUAAAGCGAUAAUUUGGAAUGGUUUGGUGAGGAAGAUGGAAUGGACGAAGUGAAUGGUUGAAGUGAGUAAAAUGAACUUGUUCCUAUUUAUAACAGAUCUUUGUUUUCUUUUUUUAAAAAAAUAGAUCUUUGUUUUCCUUUUAUUCAGGACCCUUUUCUACCUUAUCUUCCUGUCUUCUACUUUCUACCUUAUCUCUUUCCUCUGCGCAAGCGCCGCCCGUGGCUUCGCUCCUACCCCGGUUCGCUUCGGGCUUGCCCUCCUGCUCUCCCGCCGCCCAACUUCGCCGGCCACGCCGCUCCAUUCCAUUCGGGCGCCACCCGUCGCCCGUCUUCGUCUCCGCCAGUCCAAGGCUCCAAGCCCCGGUCCGCUCCAGCCUUGCCGUCGUACUCUCCCGCUAUCCAGCUUCAUCCAGCCAGCCAUGCCGCUCCCCCACCGGUCCACGCGCUAGCCCCCGCCGGACGCCGGUUCAGGCGCCUGCGGCCGCGGCUUUGGCGUGGACGCCGGGCAGCGCUUGUGCCGGUUCCAGCCGAUCCCAGGUCCGAGGAUGGCGGCCGGCCGGCCCGAGCCAACCAAGAAAGGGGCGGCGGGCUGUAGGCGGCAGCGGCACGCCCAUCCCAUCCACCGACGACCCUACAGGUACGCGGGGAGACCGGUAGAAGCCGGUGGCAAUUUCGGUGUAAUUUGUGCCAACUCGCAUAAUCGUUGUGGGCUGAAACUUUGUCGCGAUCAAACCGGCCCAAGAGCCCAGGCAGCCCUGCCAGCACGAUCCGUUGCAAAACGAGCCUCCCUCCCUCCUCUGCUUCUUGCCUUCUUUGCACCGUUCCCCCCCUCUCUGCUCCAACUCCAAGGCUUCCUCCAGAACAAAUUCCAAAUCAAACCCCCCGCACCACCAAACCAACGUCUUCCAGUUCCUCGACGUCUUCCCUUCCUCCCCCAAUCCAAUCCCCAAUCCCUCGCCCCCACCUCUCCGAGCUCCCAUGGCCGAGCCACCUCCCUGGGCGGACGGCCUCCCCCACGCCGCCCUGCGCGAGAUCGUCCGCCGGGUCCCGUGCGCCGUCGACCGCGGCAGCAUGGCCGGCGCCUGCCGCUCAUGGCGCGCGAGGCUCGCGGACCUCCCGCCCCCGCCGCCCCCGCUCCCGUGGCUCGUCCUCCCAUCGGGCGGCUCCACCCGCUUCUACUGCGCCCUCAGCGGCUGCGUCCAUCACUACGAGACCAACGCGCCCCCGCACGGCGCCCGCUUCUUCGGCUCGCACGAAGGCGCAUGGCUCUUCCUCGCCUUCAACCAGAACACCGACCACGAGCUCGUCAACCUCCGCGCCGACAGGACCUUCCUCAUCCCCGACAAGUACCGCCUGCAGCAGGACGGCCCCCUCGCCGCCGCCCACGAUGACAUGGUCAUCCUCGCCGCCGCCCUCUCGUCCCCACCGGACCAGGGAAAGUGCGUCGGCGCCUGCAUCAUCUCCCGUUGGCCGGCCAACGUCCCCACCCUGCGGCGGUUCGCGUUCUGGCACGUCGAAUUUGGUGGUGACGCGGACGCCUACGAUCUCAUGCCUGACCCCGACCCAACUCCGCCGCAUUUGCAAGUUGAGGACGUCCUGUGCUACCAAGGGGCCUUCUACUUCCUGACCCAAGGCGAACACAUCCGCCGGUGCGAACCGGUUCAUGAUGCAGGUGGGGAUCUGGAAGUACUUUCCGAUGUGUGGUUCUUCCAGCGCGAGGGCCGCAACUACGACGGCCUUGUCGUCCAAGCUCGCUACCUCGUGGUGUCCCGCGACGAACUGCUGAUGGUCGUCAGGCUCACCUGUGGAGCCAACAAGCCGGCGGCGGCGUUCAGGGUGUUCCGGGCGCUGAGACCUGUUCAGGACGUCGAGGAGGUGGCCGAUGAGGACGGGGAGGACAAUCAGGUCGCGGAGGCGGACGAUCAGGGCGAGGAGAUUGAAUACCCCUGGUCCUGGGGUGAGCUGGACACGCUGGGUGGCCAGAUGCUGUUCGUGGGGCGAGGCUGCUCCAGAUCCUACAAGACGGCUGAGUACCCGGGGUUCGAGGAUGGCAUAUACUUCUUGGAUGAUCGGAGCUUCUACGACGACCAUUGUGUCUGUGAGAGGCAGUACCCCUGCAGCAACAACGGCAGAUGGACGCAAGGGCCGCCUCCCAAUAUUGAGCUCUACUUCCCGGAGCAGGGGCCUUCGGACCACUCUCCUCCGGCUUGGCUGCUCCUAUACAACCGGCCAUAUGCCAAAGCUUUGCCACUGGAUAUGGUCCGUGAGAUCAGUCGCCACAUUAUUUGCGACACCGAGCGUGUCCGGACCCUCCGCGUGUGCUGCCUGGUGCUCUCUGACCCUGGGGCGCGGGCCAUACAGCCACAGCUUCCGUGGCUGCUUGCAGCUUCCACCGACGGGCCCUUAUUGUACUGUCUAAAUUGUGGCAGUGGCGGGAAUGGUACCACGCACACUACUGGCGCCCCAAUGUACGUGCAUACUGCAUACCACUAUGGUGCAUACGAUGGCCGUUGGUUGUUCUCUACAUUGGAGAAUGGUGACAGUGUGAUGGUUAACUUACUUACCGGAAGCAGGCAGAGACUUCCCAUUGAGAUUACAUACCGCCAGAGUGGUUUAUCAUACCCACAGAAAAUCCUUGCCGCCACCCUCUCCGCCGCACCAGAUAGCUGCAGAGCCUGCAUUGGGGCAGCGAUAGUCCGUUACGUCCAUCCAUCAGUGAAGCCCAUCUUAACGUCUCACUUUGGCAAAGUAGGCCGUGAAACAGCUACCCAGAUUGCACUGUUUAGGCUUGGGGAUGAAAUCGCUGUCGACCCAUUAUCAGCUAUCAAUUCGCCCAUCUUUGUAGAAGCAGAUGACAUAACAUUUUAUAAUGGGUCACUGCAUUGCAUCACGCCAGGUGACCACUUCUUUGUUUAGACUCCGGUGUUCCUUCCAGAUGGGCAAUUUGUGCUGGAUAACGUAGAUCACUGGAAACACUUUCGUCUGAAGUACGAACUGGAUGGCAGGCAGCCCCUUCCCGAUGACAAGACCCCGGGCUGCCAUUACCUUGUGGAGUCCCGCGGGGAACUGCUAGUGGUAGUUCGGUACUAUUCUGGUGCUAAGACAGCAAGGGAAACUGAAACAUUUAGGGUGUUCAGAAUGAUCAUUCCAGAGUUUCAUGUCAACAUGGGUGAUCACGAUUUUUGCAUCUGCACCCAUCAACCGAGCCUGGAUGGCCGGAUGCUGUUCGUGGGGCGAGGCUGCUCCAGAUCCUACGAGCUGGCUCAGUACCCAGAGUUUAAGGACGGCAUCUACUUCGUGGAUGAUCAGAGCUUCUACGACGAGCACAUCAUGUGCCAUGGUGGUAAUGAGAGGGUUUAUCCCUGCAGCGAUACUGGAAGGUGGAUCCAAGGGCCACCACCGAACCUUGAAAGCUUCUUACCGGGGCAGGGUUCCUCAAAAACCUCUUCUCCAGUUUGGAUUCUCCCUUGAGACAGACUCUCCAUCUCUGAAUUUGUGUUUCAUUUGCUGUGCCUAACCGCCACAGCAUUCAUGUACUUCAUUUUACUCUCAAGUUUCAAUUUACAUACCUGAAUACAGAAAAUGGUUGGUUGGUUGCCGUUUAAGAUUGUGUGAGGUCAUUGAUUGUGAAUCCACUUUGAGAAUUUGUGUGCUGGUGAUAAGAUUGUUUCCUUGUGAUUCCACCCAAGUAAUAUUCUUGGAAGAUGAACCUGUGCAAUUCAGCAUUCUGAAUUUCUUUCCAUUGGCACUGUGACAGGGUACUGCAGGCAAGUGCCUAUGCUAGAACAGAAGGGAUGCAGAAUCUGGGAAGACUGUCUUAUAUUUCUUUUACUAGUCUCCCCAAGUGUUAAUUUUGUUUGUUUACAAGCUUAUUUGUUUUUGCUGUAUUUACUGUGUGAUCUCUGAUUCUCAUCUGUGCAUUACGCUGGUUCAGAUGGAUUUGAUCUUAUAUAAUUUGGUGAUGCUGUUAUUAUCAAGUAUGCACCAAAUGGUGACUGUGGAUUCGAGAUACUUUCAGUAUAGUGAGAUUGGUUUAUGUUGUGGGCACAGAUCUAUUUUCCACAAGCUGUGUACUGAUUUAAACUUCGCGUCCUCAUAGUUUUACCUUUGUGAGGACAAUCUAGUGUCUGCUGUGCCAAUUUCUUCUGCGCCUUCUAUGUUAUCAGUACUGUUAUGCUCUGAGAGGGAGCACAGGUAGAUUGAUUGUUGAGGUAAGUGCUGUGAAGGUAAAUUUGGUGAGCUUUAGGCAUACUGAUUGCUGUUUGAGAACUGCAUUUUCUUUUGUUGAGUUUGUUGCACCUGUUCAGCCAAAAUUCUUAAGCUGUUGAGUUAUCUGAUGGUAGCUACUGGUACUUUCAGCAGUUCUGCUAUAUUUGUAUUGUGUCAGGAACUCAGGAUGUUUCUAUACAGAAAAGAAAAGCUAGGGGAAUAGAAAUAUGUUAGCCAGGAAAUAUAAACAUGAAGGUGGGUUAAUAACACUGUUUCAUAUCUAGAUCUUCUAGUUGCUUCAUGUGAAAAGCAGUAGUUCUUAUCGUUCAGCCUUUUAGCACUCAGCACUGCUCAAUUGCUACCUCCAGCAUGUUCCAUUUUUGAGCUGCCACCUUCUCCACUCGUUUAUCAUUUCUUAUGGUUUGGAUGUUUCUUUGCUGUUCCCUUGAUACUAUAACAAAGAGCAAAAGCCUGUCUGUUAUGAACAUCAGUCCUGGAGAUGGACUGCGUGUUAUUCCUGUGUUUCCCUCUUUUGUGCUAUUUAGCUUAAUUAUUAUUGUGAAAUGCAGUUAUGGAAUGCCAGCUCUGGUCAAGGAUUCACACAGUUUACAGAGCACCGGAAAAGAGCUUGGUCUGUGAGUUUUUCAGAAGUGGACCCUACUAAGUUGGCAAGUGGAAGUGAUGAUUGUUGCGUGAAAGUAUGGAGUAUUAACCAGGCAUGUUUCUGAAAUACAUCCACUCCUUUCUCUAUGCCAUAUUUUACUCUUACCUCCAAUAUCCUGAGUUAAAAGCACACAAAUAGUAGAUACUUAAGGUGAGACAGAGAGUUAUACAAGAGAAAUAUCAAACUCAUCUAGCUACCAUAUUUUUGCUGUCACUUGGGUGAUAGCUAGCAUAUUUUUAAAGGCUGCAGGCUAAAUAUCACAAUGCACAGAAAUCUGCAGUGCAUGUGUGUCGGGUUGACCACUGCUCCUUACCUUUUAUCUUCCAUAACUACAAUUUCAUACUACGUUUUAAUAUCAUUUAAUUUCUUGUUCUCAGAAAAAUUGCAUUGAUACAAUCAGAAAUGUGGCCAACGUAUGCUGUGUUCAGUUCUCUCCAUACUCCUCCCACAUGCUAGCAUUUGGUUCAGCUGAUUACAAGAUAUACUGCUAUGACCUGAGGAACACAAGGAUCCCUUGGUGUACUAUUUCGCGACAUGGUAAAGCUGUCAGUUAUGUAAGGUUCUUGGAUCCAGAAACACUUAUCUCUGCAUCAAUGGACAACGCAUUGAAGAUAUGGGAUCUUAACCGGACUAAUUGCAGU